Paenibacillus macerans is the source of this 406-nucleotide non-coding RNA. It matches the Rfam family "Bacterial RNase P class A". Rfam says of the family: Ribonuclease P (RNase P) is a ubiquitous endoribonuclease, found in archaea, bacteria and eukarya as well as chloroplasts and mitochondria. The record is from Rfam. NCBI's taxonomy places the organism in Bacteria, Bacillati, Bacillota, Bacilli, Caryophanales, Paenibacillaceae.
AAAGUUUGACAGACAAUCGCCGGCGGCUUUAAGGCCGCGGGAGGAAAGUCCGGGCUCCACAGGGCAGGGUGCUGGAUAACGUCCAGUCAGCGCGAGCUGAAGGAUAGUGCCACAGAAAUGGACCGCCGAUGGCCGCCGCAAGGCGCGCACAGGCAAGGAUGGAACCGAGGUGUAAGAGACCCCGAGGAACGCUGGCGACUUCGUUCCUGGUAAACCCCACCUGGAGCAAGACCUAAUGGGACGCGGCUUCUUUGGAAGCAGCCUUUGCCCGAGGCGCGUCCGGGUUGGUUGCUGGAGCCGUUCAGUAAUGGACGGCCUAGAUAGAUGAUUGUCGCUCAAGGGCGGGAGGGUAGUUCCCGUUAAUACCGCAAAGAGUACAGAACCCGGCUUACGGCAAACUUUCAAC